GUUCUGAUUGGACAGCGGGGAAAGGCGCUGCAUUCCAGCGCACAUGGCCCUGAGGGCGUGAGCCCACAGCGCGAGGCACGGUGCCGGGGGAGUGCAGACCACAGGGGCUGCUGGAGCCACACAUCUGGCUCCGUGGGGACGGCCUGCGUCGAGGGCCUCCGUGCCGAGGGCCCUGUACCCUCUGCUUCCCCUGCCCAGCUCCUCAGCUGCGCCUCCUGAAGCAGACGCCAUUACCAGAGAGGGAUUUACUUCAGCCUGAACGGGGCACGGAAGGGUGGGAGGCAGAAGGGCCGCGCCGUACUCAGGCAGGCAGGAAGCGGUGUGACCCCUCGCGCUUGUCGGAGCCUCUUCUCCAUCUCCCUGGAAGAACGGAGGCAGCGUGUGCCUGUGCACCAACCACAGCGCGCUCCGGCUUUGUCUAGACUUCUCAGCAUUUUAACUCACGUUAAUUGCUCCCCAAUUAGCCGGAGCUCGCAAACACAUUUGUAAACACCAGUCUAGACGCUCUACAAACAUUUGUUCUAAGGCACGUAUGUAAAAUAGUUAAGUGGAUGCUGAGGCAAUUAGGUGUAAUCUUAUUACUACCCUUUCUCGCAUCUCCUUUUCACCCUCUGCUGAAGCGGAGACCCGAGCUCCGUACUAGCAGGACUUUUUUUUUUUUCAAAAGGCACUACAAAGGUAAACCUUAGGGCUAUCGCAUGCGAAGCCCUGAUAAGGUGCUAUUAGUUCCCAGUCAACUUCCAAAGACAGAGUGCAGCGCGGUUUUAUAGCUGCAGACAUCCAGUGCACACAGAAUCCAGAAGAUCUUCAACGUUGAUAUGCUGUGCUGCACAGACCAGAUUUGGUGAUCAGAAAUCAUUUAAUCCAUAUUCAGUUAUUCAGCGCUGAGGGCAGGCACAGCAGCUUGAGGAUGGUAUGCUUCUGUGGGCCAUGCACCAGGACAGCUCAAGACCUUGGACAGACGACACUUCCUUAGUGUCCCACGUUGCCUGGGCAGGACGCGGUGACCUAUCCUGACCCCAUGCACACAGAGGGCCAUGGUGCUGCAGUCAGUGUGGAUGCACGUUCAAAGGAAGACAAUGUUCAGUGUAAUAAAUAAUUUUAGAAAAUGCAAAGGCCAACCUUGUGAAAGAGGU
Molecule: long non-coding RNA, 1136 nt
Organism: Numida meleagris (helmeted guineafowl)
Lineage: Eukaryota; Metazoa; Chordata; Aves; Galliformes; Numididae
Exons: 3
Source: RefSeq, a predicted model, not a curated record